RNAcentral lists this ribosomal RNA (912 nucleotides) under Lacticaseibacillus paracasei. RNAcentral describes it as "bacterial SSU rRNA". It matches the Rfam family "Bacterial small subunit ribosomal RNA", at positions 1 to 877 of the family's 1533-position model. The record is from RNAcentral. Lineage: Bacteria; Bacillati; Bacillota; Bacilli; Lactobacillales; Lactobacillaceae.
UUAUUUUGUUUUUUUUUUUUCUGCUCAGGAUGAACGCUGGCGGCGUGCUAAUACAUGCAAGUCGAACGAGUUCUCGUUGAUGAUCGGUGCUUGCACCGAGAUUCAACAUGGAACGAGUGGCGGACGGGUGAGUAACACGUGGGUAACCUGCCCUUAAGUGGGGGAUAACAUUUGGAAACAGAUGCUAAUACCGCAUAGAUCCAAGAACCGCAUGGUUCUUGGCUGAAAGAUGGCGUAAGCUAUCGCUUUUGGAUGGACCCGCGGCGUAUUAGCUAGUUGGUGAGGUAAUGGCUCACCAAGGCGAUGAUACGUAGCCGAACUGAGAGGUUGAUCGGCCACAUUGGGACUGAGACACGGCCCAAACUCCUACGGGAGGCAGCAGUAGGGAAUCUUCCACAAUGGACGCAAGUCUGAUGGAGCAACGCCGCGUGAGUGAAGAAGGCUUUCGGGUCGUAAAACUCUGUUGUUGGAGAAGAAUGGUCGGCAGAGUAACUGUUGUCGGCGUGACGGUAUCCAACCAGAAAGCCACGGCUAACUACGUGCCAGCAGCCGCGGUAAUACGUAGGUGGCAAGCGUUAUCCGGAUUUAUUGGGCGUAAAGCGAGCGCAGGCGGUUUUUUAAGUCUGAUGUGAAAGCCCUCGGCUUAACCGAGGAAGCGCAUCGGAAACUGGGAAACUUGAGUGCAGAAGAGGACAGUGGAACUCCAUGUGUAGCGGUGAAAUGCGUAGAUAUAUGGAAGAACACCAGUGGCGAAGGCGGCUGUCUGGUCUGUAACUGACGCUGAGGCUCGAAAGCAUGGGUAGCGAACAGGAUUAGAUACCCUGGUAGUCCAUGCCGUAAACGAUGAAUGCUAGGUGUUGGAGGGUUUCCGCCCUUCAGUGCCGCAGCUAACGCAUAAGCAUUCCCCCGCCG